Long non-coding RNA from Myiozetetes cayanensis, 11672 nucleotides. RefSeq lists it as uncharacterized. The transcript is spliced from 6 exons. Lineage: Eukaryota; Metazoa; Chordata; Aves; Passeriformes; Tyrannidae. The record is from RefSeq and is a predicted model, not a curated record.
CGUUGCUAUGGCGGAAGCCCCGCGUGGCGACGCCCUAGCCCCCGCGCGCACGCGCGAGCGGGCCGGGGAGAGAGCGGGGACCCGCAGCCCCCUCGCGCUCGGCUCCCCCUCCGCCACCCGACCGAGAUGCCCAAUCACAGGGCAGCCGCCGGCUGAUUGACGCCCCGGCCGACUAAUGGCGACGCCCCUCAGAGUGGUGGGGCGGGGCUACCUGCCCCAAGAGUUUUUCACUACCUACUUUGGUGCGAUCUCAGUCUGGCACUCCUGAUUGGCUCGCGCUGCUGCGGCAAGAGCCUUGCGCUUCCCACCGGCACCCGCGGAUCCCAGAUCCCGGCGCCUGCUUCGUCCGGAUGGCCGAAACGUCUGGCUUUGUCCUCGGCACAAAGCUGAUCCCGAGCAAACGCUGCUGCGGAGACCGGGGCGCUCGGAGAAGCCGCUGUUCUGUGUUUAUGGUAGUCCUGCUCACUCCGACCGCUACGACAAUACUCGUUCCUUAAUGUUUUCAGGCAGUGAAGCUCGGGCUGCUUGUAAACAGAGUAAACAGGCACCGACUGAUGUUACGAAAAUGUAUAGAAAGUUAGGUUUUUAUUACUGAAUCCUGACUGCAGCGAUGUUCCUGGUUUGAAUCGAUGAGUAAACCCCCCCAGCAUCAAGCUUAUUUAAGUAUGUGCCUACUUGUAAGCAGAAAACAAAACCAAGACUUGGCAUGUUUUCAAGGCUAGGGUAUGAGGCAACUAACAUGAAGCUUCAAUUCUAAAGGUGUGAGCCAUGCUUACAUACCGUACAGUUUUCAUCCAUAUUGCUGUUCUAAUUAAAGGGGUUUAAUAUUGAUUUCAUUUUUCCCCUCCUUGUAGCCUACCCCAGUGAAUGCCCUUUGUAGAUGCUGUUAGGCCUGUUCACAUUAGAUAGAAGUUGCGGAAAGACACCAUACAGAAGAUUCAUGUAUUGAAAAAGCAGUCCUAUUGCAUCAGGCUCUUGUGUGGGGUGACUUACUCUGACCAAGGGUUCCUUUUGUAAGAGAAUUUGCAAUAGAUUUGUAGUGAAACUAGCAAAAGACCUACCAGCAUGACCUGAGCUUGAAUUGGACUGAGGGGAUAGUUUUUCCCUAUGGUCUUUUCUGAUAUAUUUAAUCAUGGAAUGCUUAAAUUCAAAACCAAAUGUUGACUUACGUUGGAAGUAUUAGCAAGAAUUGAGCAGGGAUGUUUUUUAUUUUUUUUCUCUUUAAACAAAUCAGGUAUAAUGCCUGUGUAAUAGGUAGAGCUUCAGUUCUAAGCAUAUGUUUCUCUGGACAACUUCUAGUCCUGCCUUCUUGCUGUGACUGUUCUGGUGGGGAGAGGAAAUCAAGGCAGGCUCUGUUUGGCAGUGGGGGUCAAUGCCAUAUGGCAGUGCCAUGGCUGACCUCUAUCUCCAGUGGCAUGUAGCAGAGAGCUGGGGCAGCUGUGCUUUUUAGUCUUAAUUUAUGUGAGUAAUUUGCCUGUUUGCUGUUCCAAGCUUGCUCUUCAUAGAUGGGUUUCGCUAUGACAGAGGGUUACAGAAGUGAGACAUCCUGGGGAGGAGGGGAAGAGGAUGAUGUAAAGUCAUGAGAACAGGGCUGGGACUGUUUCAUGUUGUAUACUUAUAAGGGAAAAUGAGUUGGAACUGGCCUGUUGGCUCACUCUGUUUCAAGAGGUCUUUUUGGAAACACUGCAGCGGGUGGAGAAGGUAUCUAACUGGUUAAAGAAACUUCAGUGAGGACAGGAACUCCUUCACAGCAGAAUAAGAUAUCUCAUGGUUUGGGAACCACUGCUGCACAUAAAUCCUGUGCUGCUGUUUGUGUAGAGGAAAGGGAGUCUGUUUUUCCAGCCCUGUGCUGCUCCUCACUCAGCCCUCUCCUCACACAUCUGAGACCUUAAGCAUCACCCCAACUGUUUGCAGCCCUGCAAUUCCCUUAGUGAGAGCUUGCAGUAGGGUCCUCUCACGGCUGCUACGUAGCUGUUGUCUUGAUGCCUGAAAAUGAAGGGAAGCUCCUUGUUUUGAGAAGGGCAGGAGGAAAUUUUGGUUCUAUUUACAAGGUCCCUAUCCAUCAGUCCCACACUUUUGAUGGGAUAGAGACCUGAGCAGAGGUGAGGAAGUUGUGCCUUGUGGCUUAUUGCCACACUGACAGUAACCCUCCCGCUUCUUACUGCACUGCACGCCCUGUUUUGGCCAGCUAUUGUGGUGUAUGAGUGAGCAAGGCUAGAGGUUUCUUGGGGUGAGACUUAGCUCUUUGUCCCCACCUUUCAGUGCAAUACAAGGUUGUUACAAAGACAGAUGUGAAUUCUGUGACUUGUACAGCAUUGUGGAGAGGAAGGGGUUCUUUACUAGCUCUUCUACCUUUCAACACUGAACAACCUUUGUCCUUUUAGCCUCCUGUUAGUGCUAUAAAUAAGCUAAGCUAAAAGCUCAAGCUGUAUGUUUGGAUGAACCAAUAUUGAAAGAUGAAUUCUCCUCCCUUUUUUAAGGUAAAUGGUGUUUGCAAUUAGCCUGAAACUUCCUCCUCCCCACCUCAGAAAAAUCCAUCCCCCAGCCAUAGGGGACCCCAAGAAAUUUCAGUAAUUCUGUAGCUGAUGGUGACUGCUGUGGCUCCAGGCAGAAACAACUGGUGUGAACUGCAGUUGACAAGUGUCUGUCCAGUGAAUGAUCGCUUCAAAAUCCAGCAUGGUCAUUAUAAAAAGACACCCACAGACUCCAUUUUUGCACAAGACCCUGAAUCAACAGAAACCUGAGAUCAAUACAUCUGCCUCACUGACUAGCAUUUGCUAGAAUCACAUUUGAGACUGUGACUACUUGCUUACUUUAUAUGCUAUUUGAACUCCCCCUCCUGUCCUCCAAGCUACUGACUCAUUUCCUCCUCUAAAAACCUUCCUUUUUUAGCCUUUCGCUCUGAAGUAUUUGGUAGCUGUUUUGAGCUGCAUGCUCCAUACCUUACUUAGGCAAACUCCUACAUGACAGCCCUGAAAGCCUUGCUUUUGUACCAUGGAAAUCGUUUGUUUUUCCCUAUUAGUUUCAGUUCUGAGGGGCAGUCUUAGCUACUGACUGUAUUCCUCAGCAAAUUGCUUUCUUACUGUUUGAAAUCAGGGAGGCAGACAAUCAGCAAAGCAGCUGGUGAGCUGAAACUACCACUACUUAUGCUAAUUAACUGUUGUCUCCCUCUUAGCCCCCACUUUCCCCAUCAGCCCUGCAUCCACCUGCUGUUUUUCAAACAUUUGUCCUGAUCUCACAGUUUGGGCAGGGAUCACAGAGGCUGCUCUUAGUCUGGACAACCACCCCAGGCCUGCAGAGCACCCAGUGGAAGGAUCAGGCCCUGACUCUACGUGCUGUGUCAUGUAAGCGAAGGAAGCAGGUGGUGUCCCCUUGUGUAAGGCCUGGCAUGGUGGUAGCCCAGAGCUUUGGUCAUGGCUGAUGGAUGCUACUGUAACUGCACUAGAUGAGUGUGCCUGAAAUGUAGUUCCUUUUUCACAGGGCUUAUGGAAUAUUGGUUCUGUGCUUUUGGCAUUGCAAGGAUCAGCAAAGAUAAUUAUAGACAGGAACAGAAAGUCUCUGUAAACCUUACAUUCGUAGCUAUUUCACUGGCAGAAACAAAGCCACAAGGAGCCUAUCACUGUGCAUUGCUGAAAUAUUCAGUUUAUUAGGUGCAUUGGAGUAAAAAUUUAAAGGGAAAUUUUGAGAGAGAAGGAGAACCUAAAGGUGAUUUCCAGAAACUGCUGUGAUGCUCUAUUCCUUUUCUCAGGAGGCGGUGAGGUGCAGCAAACAGCGUGCAGAAACCAAGAGCCCAGUGUCUCGUCUAAUGCUCUGUCCUUGCCCCUGGAGUGAAACUGGGCAAGCUGCUUUUCCCCUUUACAUUAGAUAUUUGGUUUUGAAGCGUUAACUUUGUUCCUGCCUUUUCUAUAUUGCAAUUUGAGAUUUGGGGCAGAUCAGAGCUAGAUGUUGUUUAUAAAUACUUGCUAUUUUUACAGUAAUGAAAAGGCUGUCCUAAAUUGCUACAGAUGAAUGCCAGAACUUGUAUUCCUUUUAAUUUGCUAUCAACUUCCACAAUUGCUGCAGGUUGUAAUCCUUUUAAUUUCCAUAUGGUAAAACCUGCAGGCUAUGAACAACCAGACCUGCUUGCUGCUGGGUUAAUUUUCAUCAGAAACCUUUCUGGAUUGAGUGUGAUGGGGAAGGUAGCCCAAUGCUUCAUCAUCCCUGGGGCGUUUUUUCCACUGAAAGGACAAAGGAGUAAAUAGCACAAGAAGGCAGCUGAGGAAUGGAACAGCUCUGUGUUAAUUUAAGUAUACAAGAAUGUCAUCAAGCUACUGACCUACCUGGCUUAUCUAUUUACUUAUCUUUUUUCCCCCCCUUUGAUUUUGUUGCCACUAAAGGACCUGGAUGGUGAGAAUGAAAAGCAUUCUGCCCCAGAAUCAGCUAAAGGACUAGUUGCUGCUCAACUCUCCCCUAAAUUGUCAAAACAGGCAAUGUGCAAAACUUAAAAUUAUAUUUUCCCUGCUUACAUGUGAAUUGGAUCUUAAAUCCUGUCAGUAUGAGAAGGGAGGCACAUAUUGAGCACAGAGGCCUUGAACUCCUCUUAACCAGUAGGUAAAGCUUUAGGCAGCAUCUCUGGCCACAUUACCUAAAAGCUUUGCAGCAUUCACUGUGAUUAUGCUCCUGAGCUUUUGCUGUGAGACAGGGCUGCAAAUGCAGCCCCUUUUAUAGAUGAGGAGGGCUGAGCUGAGAGAAGCUGCACGACUCUCCCAGCCUCAGGCAGGAAGUCUGUGGUAAGUCCUAUGAAGCCUUUGCUACCCUAACCUUCAGGCCGUCUCUUUUCUGCGCAUGUAAGAUGAUAAUGCUGCUACAUCAAAUGUACAAUGGCUGCAGAAAUUUCUAGAAGAAUAAGCAUUUUUGGCUUAUGUGGGCUUUGUUCCAGGUGAGGAGGUGGUUGCUGAUGCCAUUAGCAAUUGCUAUCUGCAAUGCUAUUAAUAAUUAUUUUAUUUCCUGACUAAAUUAGCCCCCACUCCUCUCACACCGUGACCUAGACAGAAGGUUGCCUUAGCAGUUUGAUUUUCUUAGACAGAAUUUACACUUAGGUGCAUCAGAAUAAUAAAGAAGCCUUUUGGAGGUGUGUUGCUCCUGCAUGAUGGCGGUUCUGGCUUGGGAACUGCUAGCCUGUUUAUUUUUGUCAGAGCUGUGGCCACUUAUUGAACCUGUGUAGGUUUGGCACUGUGGAAUGGGGGAAAGUUGGUUCUUGUUAUUAGUGGUUAAAAUUGGGAGUUCAUUACAAGGAAGGCUUCUGAGGGUAAGAUUAGAUGGCAUGUGAAUUAGCCCUAUCCCAUGUGUCACCAAACAUGCAAGGUGCUGUACAGGCGUAGACUGGAAAAUCCCCACCCUAAUCUGCUUACUGUCUAACCAUAAGAAAUGCAUGGGGUAAUGAAAAAGGAAGCAAUGAGGCCAUAUUAGUCAUUGCACGAGGGAUGUUCAUCAACAGAAGCCUUAUAGCUGUGGAGGGUUUGCUAGAAGGUAGUGAAGGUCCAUCUGUGAAAAGAUGUAGCAUUGAAUGUGAUUUCUGGGAAUGCAGUGGUGUGUGAGGGGAGUGUUCUGAGAAUUUAGGGUGGUUACUGCAGGCCUGAGUUGCAGAGGCAGGUAUGGAGAGGUAAGCACUCAUUUCCAAAGCACAGCCCUGGCUAUUGUGGUGCUGGAGAGAAGCCACAGCACUGCCAGUGCCUGUGGAAUACAGCUGGGGCAAGCUGCAGGACAAAUCUGCCCACAGCCUGGGAUUGGGUGGGUCUAAGCUGGAUGUGCCAGUAGUGUGGUGGUAGGUGCUAGGGUGAGCAAGCAUACCAGGUUUUUUUUGCCUUCCAGUAUAUCAGGUAGUCUAAAAAAGGGCAUUGCUUUCCUGAUGAACCUGCCUCACACAUAGAUGGACAACACUCCUUGCCACUUCUGCCACUUGGACUGUGCAAGGUGAGGUGUAGGAGCAGGAGGACAUUGCAGAGACAAACUGGAAAAGAAGAGGAUCUCUCUGUGUUUCCUGCAAAUGUGCAGGCAGACAGAACACAGCUAUGGAUGGGAGCCUCUGACAGUAUCCCUGACCUCUCUCCUGUCUGUGUUGUGGGUGCCAUCAGCCUGCAGGAUGUGGUCUUUGUGUAUAGAUCAUGAAUGGAGUUGAGUGGCUUGAUAGCUAUAGCUCUGCCACCUGGGCAGACAGCUGGGCCAUGGUGAGCUAUGUGUAUGUGCUGUGGUUGUUCUUGUCCAGGGACAUGGCUAUGGGGAGGUCUCUACUGAAAAACAGGGUAGUGCGAGUGGAACAUCCCUUUCCCACCACCCUUUUUAGAUCUGUUCUCUGUGUCAGAAUCUGUAUUGGUGGCCUGUGCUUGGCAUGCUGGCUGUCUUCUGGCAUGCUGAGUGGAGAAAGGCUGGCUGGUGUGGUGGAAUGAACCAGUUUGGUGAGCAAUCUUCAGCAACCACUGAUCUCUUUCUGAGCAUUUGCAUUGCUUAAGUUGCACAGAUCAGUUCUCCUGAUGGGUAAUCACCCAACAAGCUGUAUGUGGUUGCUGGCAAGAAGCAUGACUGCAGCUGCAUUUCUGAAGGAGGCCAGGAUGGACAGGUUGCCAAUCACAGAAUAUGCUGAGUUGGAAGGGACUCACAAGGAUCAUUGAGUCCAAUCCUUUGCCCUGCAGAGUAUUGUCCAAACACUUCUUGAACUCUGUCAGACUUGGCACUGUGACCACUUCCCUGGGGAGCCUCUUCCAGCACCCAGCCACCCUCUGGAUGAAGACCUUUUUUCUAAUAUCCAACCUAAACCUCCCCUGACAUGAACUCAGGCCAUUCUCUUGGGUCCUGUCACUAGUCACCACAGAGGAGAGAUCAGUGUCUACCCCUCCUCUUCCCCUCAUGAGGAAGUUGUAACUGCAAUGAGGUCUCCCCUCAGUCUCCUCUUCUCCAGGCUGAACAGACAAAGUGACCUCAGCCAUUCUGCUCUUCACACGACUUUCCCUUAAGGCCCUUUGCCAUCUCGGUUGCCCUCCUUUGGACUCUUUCUAAUAAAUUCAUAUCUUUCUUAUAUUGCAGUGCCCAAAACCGCACACAACUCCUGGACAGUGCUUCCCCUGUCAGAUUGCCCAUCACAGAAGUCUUACUCCCAGCAUAUGAUGCUUUGCUGUUGCCGUGCUCAAAAAGGUUUUUUGGAAGGGCGAGAGAUGCCAGAUGUGUCCAGAGGAGGAGCAGAGAGGAGCAGUGGCACACAACUGAGAACCAGGUGUCAAGCUGGCCCUUAAGGAGCAAACCUUGUACAUGAGCUCUCUGUAUGAGAUGGAGUGGUUUGGGUCCUCCAGGUCCCAUGAGACCCCAAACUGUUUGAGGGCUACUGGACACUUAAUCUUGACUGUUGCCUAAGAAGGCAAUGCCAAAAAUCAGGAGAGGUCGGCACGGGACUGUUUUCCUGUUAUCUCUUGAGACUUCCAUGUGAGCAGACAAAAGUAUGGGACCACUGAAAAUCCAUCUUUGCAGAUUCACAUUUUGCCACCAGAGAGCUCCCCUUCUCCACACCAAGGAAUGAAAAUAAAUUGCCUGCAAAGCCCUGGUUAUUGGAGUCUGAAGGAACAGCAGUGGGAUGAGUAUGAUGUACACAGGACGCUCACGGCAAGAGUAUGUUUUGGGGAGGUCCUGGUCCAGAGAAGGUCAGGAACCAGCAUACGGCACUGUCCCAGGCUGCCAGCCCAUCUGAAGAGGAUCUUGAGAAUCUAAUCUUAACUGUUUGGUGACUGCAUGACUCCUAAACUGGCAGGACACUUUUACCAUUCAAAUGCAACAGUGUGGACUUCACAGCAGAGGAUGGCUUGUUGAAGGGACUGGUUGGGCUGUUCUCUUGAGCAUGGGUAAGAGGGUUUUGGAGAAAGUGCCUUUCAUGUGGGGUCAGGAUCAGAGAGGACUGCAGAGGCCUCUUCUUCAGUGGGAUCUCCCUCCCUUGCUGCCACAGGCUUCGACUCACCCCAGCAAUGAGUCACACAUGGUGACUAAGCUGAUUAAGCCCAGGCAGAGAAGGAAGAACAGCAGGGGAUCAGAGAUGGAGGAAUUUCUGGACUCUACCUGGUCCCCAGGCUGGAGUCAGAAGGGGAACAAAACAGGGGCAGCUUAGAGGUCUCUCAUGAUUCUUGGGCCACUUUCUCAGCCUCCUCUGGUCUGUGGAUUCCCUGCAAACCCAGCUUCUGCCUCGUGCAAAGGGGCUGUGCUUUCCCUGGUAUUGCUUCUUUCACAGUGAAAACCCUUGUGCUCUUUCUUCCCCAUGCCCUCUGCUAGGGAAUGUCCAGUUACACAAACACUGUGUCUUUAAGGAGACUGAUUCACUGAUCAUCCACAUCAUUUCACCUGCCCUUGACAUGAUGUUCCCUCACCCACUUGGCUAUGCAAACCCCCUUAGAAGGGCCCCAGUGUUGCUCAUGAUGGAGCAGAUGGGGUUUCUAAGCAGCUUAAGUUGUCUCUUUAAGGACUUGUAGAAGCAGAUGUUAGAGCCCUUGGGUUUCAGGCAGCUGAGGUAUUGUAUAGAUGUUCUCUGCAUGUUUUCUGCUAUAAAUGCUAUCAUGGUAAGAGGUCUGCAACCUUCUUUUUCUCUCCUAAAGCAGCCUGAAAACUAGCAUUCAUAAUAGGAAAGAUAAGACUGUUUUCGUUUCCCCAGUGAUUCUGGAAACUAGGGCCCUAGCACGUGCCUUCAUCUGGCUGUGGGGAGAGAGCAGGUGGUUUUCACCUGAAUUAGAACCCCCUUUAAUCUUGUUCAAGGCUAUGUAAGUGAAGAGGUGAAUUACAUCCAAACCUGAGGCUGCUGAGGUGCCCUUGAAAUAUUGGACCCUUUUACAGCCAAAAUCCUUUGGGGUGGGGGGAGGCUUGCAUUUCUGACAUUAUUAAAGUGGACAUUGUUAAUUAUAUGUGAGGUUGGAUUACUGCAUGGCAUGCAGUGAGUUCUUAUUGUUAAUCAAGCAGAAGUAGAUGAAAUACAACUUUUGCUUUAUUAACAAUGACCUCCUGGAGGGACUUUCCCCUGUGGUUGAAAGGAAAUAUGCUGAGGGAAGAAAUAAAUAAAUAAUAAUGUGAUUAAAUGAGAUGUAUUAAGGCAUGUUUUCCAUCUCUCUCUCCUGAUUCUGGUCCUUGAUUCAAAUCUCAUUCAAUGUAUUAGCUACAUUUUGUGUUAUUGGGCAAUAGCCUUGCUUGUGCUGGUUUUACAAGCCAUCAGUUGUAUUAGAAGUUCAACUGAUAGCCAUACAGACAGCUAUUUCAACCUGACACAAAAUUAUUCAGAAUAACUGGAAAGAAAAUACCAAGUGUCAAUGUGGUUUAUUAAUUCCACACCCAGCUGCCCAACUUCUCUUUAUUCUGUCCUCUCUGACUUUGCAGCUCCCUAGAACUAGAAAAGAGGAAGGGUUGAAUGCACAAUGUCAAUGCAUGUUCCACGUGAGAGUGCCUACCUGAUUAGAGAGUAAUGCUCAAACAGCUGGGGCAUUUUGGCCUUUAAAAAUCUCUCAAGAGUACAGGAUCAUGCAUAAUUUUUUAUUCCCCCUGCUGCUCUCACUCAGGUAGUGUUUUGUUUAUUGUAGAGGUGUGUGUGUUCAUAUGGGCAUGGUUUUAUUAGUUUACUCUUAGUCUAGUAAUAAAUAUAUCUUGCAUAAUAAAUAUCUCUAAGUACUACAUGUUGCUGCUGGGCUGGUGCAGUGACGUAACAUCACAGCCUUGAUAACCCUUAUGGAUUUUAUUUCCCCUCGGACAUAUCACAAUAAUUUGUAGGGGUUUUUUCAGGUUCCAGCCCCAGGACUCACCUGAACAUACGCAAACCCAGCUACUUGUUACACUGCAUUUGGCUCUGGCUGCCAGUUUGACAGGGGAAAACUGGGAAAUCUAACCCUGCUUUAUGGCUGAUAUAUUUUAAAAGGAAUCAGAAAGCAAGUUAAAAAAGCAUUUAAGAGUGUAUUAGUUUUGAGAUAUUUCAAAGGUAAUCUCCUACCUUUAGGGAGUGUGAUUAUUUUUCAGUAUCUGAGGUUUGCUAUCUCAUUACUCAGUGACAGGAAAAGCUGUUGCCCCUCCUGCAGGCCCUAGUUUCCGUUCUGAGUGCCAUGCAGAGAUUAGAGGUCUGCAGGCUGGCUUUCAAGCCCUGCAGGAACCAGCUAAAUGCAGUUAUCUUUAGACGAGUGCAGAUAGCAGGCCUGGAGUGGAGGUACUCAGACAAUGUGCAAGAGGCUGCCACAUCGGAGAUUUUUCUGGGAAGUGCAACCGAAUUCUGAAACUGUCCAGAGAAUAGCUCUGCAUACAUGCUAGGAAUUGUCAAAGCAGAGAACAGGUGACAAAAUCUCCUACAUUUUAAGAUAUUCUUUCCCUUAAGAUCACAUGGCCCUUGAGUUAAUUUUCAAGUAGCAGCAGACUUGGGGAUAUGGCCCACAGCAACACUACCCAUUGAUGUGAGCCAUCAUAUUUUCACCUGCCAUUUCUGGUCCUGUCUUUAUGGGCAGGAGCCAGAUGCAGGCCCCCAGAUGGUGUCUAGCACUCCCAGUCUGACCAGUGACUUUGCAGGAGAGACAGACACUCAGACCUUGUGUCUCCUGCCCUGUUUAGAGACCAGCAGUCACCUUUGAUGACUAGUUGUCCUCAGACUUCCUUCUAAAGGGCAGGAGAAAGAGAUCCCUGACAAAGAAGCUGCAAGAGAGGGGGACAGCAAUGCACAGAGUACAUCACUUGCCUUGUUAAAAGCAGAAGAGGCAGACCCAACACUUCUCACUUGGCUGUAGAUCCCUGCUACAAGAACUGCUUUACCUCUUUAUUUUAGAACUCUACUUCUUUAUAUUAGAUGUAGUAAAGUGAUACAUUAGAGGACCAAUAGUAAAUAAAUCGUAUUGAAGAGGACUUCCUGGCCUGAGGAUACUUUAUAGUUUAAUUUUUACCAGAAGAGCAAUUACCACGUUAUGAAUCUUGCCAUUAAAAUAAUACAUACACAGUAAGGAUUAAUUAUGUUGUAAAAAAGCCAUGGAAAUCAACAGCAAGCACCACCAUAUAAAAUAUAACAAUUUCGAUCCAGUUUUGUUUAAAAAAAACCCAGACAUUCAAUUUUAAACAAAGAUUGGAUGUUCACAGAAUAUGUGGAGUUGGAAGGGACCCACAAGGAUCACUGAGUCCAAUCCUUUGCCCUGCACAGAACCAUCCCCAAGAGUCACACCAUGUGCCUGAGAGUAUUAUCCAAACACUUCCUGAACUCUGUCAGUCUUGGUGCUGUGACCACUUCCCUGGAAAGUCUCUUCCAGCACCCAACCACCCUCUGGAUGAAGACCCUUUUUCUAAUAUCCAACCUAUACCUCCCCUGACAUGAAUUCAGGCCAUUCCCUUGGGUCCUGUCACUGGUCACUACAGAGAAAAGGUCAAUGCCUGCCUCUCCUCUUCCCCUCAUGAGGAAGUUGUAGACUGCAAUGAGGUCUCCCCUCAGUCUCCUCCAGGCUGAAUAGACCGAGUGACUUCAGCUACUCUUCACACAUCUUCCCCUUAAGGCCCUUCACCAUCUCGGUUUCCCUCCUUCAGACACUCUCUAAUAGCUUAAUAUAUUUCUUAUAUUGUGGUGCCCAAACUGCACACAAUAUUCAAAGUGAGGCCGCCCCAGAGCAGAGCAGGACAAUCACCUACCUUGACUGACUGGCAAUGCUUUGCCUGUUUCC